Molecule: ribosomal RNA, 468 nt
Filed under: uncultured bacterium
Lineage: Bacteria
Description: partial 16S ribosomal RNA
Rfam family: Bacterial small subunit ribosomal RNA
Source: RNAcentral
GACGAACGCUGGCGGCGUGCUUAACACAUGCAAGUCGAACGGAAAGGCCCUGCUUUUGUGGGGUGCUCGAGUGGCGAACGGGUGAGUAACACGUGAGUAACCUGCCCUUGACUUUGGGAUAACUUCAGGAAACUGGGGCUAAUACCGGAUAGGAGCUCCUGCUGCAUGGUGGGGGUUGGAAAGUUUCGGCGGUUGGGGAUGGACUCGCGGCUUAUCAGCUUGUUGGUGGGGUAGUGGCUUACCAAGGCUUUGACGGGUAGCCGGCCUGAGAGGGUGACCGGCCACAUUGGGACUGAGAUACGGCCCAGAAUCCUACGGGAGGCAGCAGUGGGGAAUAUUGCACAAUGGGCGGAAGCCAGAUGCAGCAACGCCGCGUGCGGGAUGACGGCCUUCGGGUUGUAAACCUCUUUCGACUGUGACGAAGCGUGAGUGACGGUAAUGGGUAAAGAAGCACCGGCUAACUACGUG